RNAcentral lists this ribosomal RNA (499 nucleotides) under uncultured bacterium. RNAcentral's name for it is "partial 16S ribosomal RNA". It matches the Rfam family "Bacterial small subunit ribosomal RNA", at positions 28 to 507 of the family's 1533-position model. The record is from RNAcentral.
GACGAACGCUGGCGGCGUGCUUAACACAUGCAAGUCGAACGGGCCUGUCUUCUUUUUUGGGGGUGGGUUGAGUGGCGAACGGGUGAGUAUCACGUGAGUAACCUGCCCUUCGGUCCUGGAUAACCGCUUGAAAGGGCGGCUAAUACGGGGUGGUCCGGUUGGUCCGCAUGGGCUGGUCGGGAUAGAUUCACUGUUUUUGGUGUUUCGGCGGGGGAUGGGCUCGCGGCCUAUCGGCUUGUUGGUGGGGUGAUGGCCUACCAAGGCGGUGACGGGUAGCCGGCCGGAGAGGGUGGGCGGCCACACUGGGACUGGGAUACGGCCCAGACUCCUGCGGGAGGCAGCAGUGGGGGGUAUUGCACAAUGGGCGGAAGCCUGAUGCAGCGACGUCGCGUGAGGGAUGGAGGCCUUCGGGUUGUGAACCUCUGUUUCCGGUGGUGAAGGCCCUGUCCGUGUGGUGGGGUUGACGGUAGCCGGGGAUGAAGCGCCGGCUAACUACGUG